Molecule: non-coding RNA, 30 nt
Filed under: Sus scrofa (pig)
Lineage: Eukaryota; Metazoa; Chordata; Mammalia; Artiodactyla; Suidae
Source: RNAcentral
CAGGGAAUAGUUUAGUUAGAAUUUCAGCUU